AUCCAUCUGACUAGUUCCGAAUAGGACGAAAAACGUGUCCUGGAU
RNAcentral lists this non-coding RNA (45 nucleotides) under Trichobilharzia regenti. Lineage: Eukaryota; Metazoa; Platyhelminthes; Trematoda; Strigeidida; Schistosomatidae. The record is from RNAcentral.